UCGCAAGGGUGAAACUCAAAGGAAUUGACGGGGGGCCCGCACAAGCGGUGGAGCAUGUGGUUUAAUUCGAUGCAACGCGAAGAACCUUACCUGGGCUUGACAUGCAGGGGACAGGUGUUAGAGAUACACCCUUCUUCGGACUCCUGUACAGGUGCUGCAUGGCUGUCGUCAGCUCGUGUCGUGAAAUGUUGGGUUAAGUCCCGCAACUGAGCGCAACCCUGGUCCUUAGUUGCCAGCACGUCAUGGUGGGAACUCUAGGGAGACUGCCGGUGACAAACCGGAGGAAGGUUGGGGACGACGUCAAGUCAUCAUGGCCCUUACGUCCAGGGCUACACACGUGCUACAAUGCACAUACAGAGGGCAGCGACCCGCGAGGGAAGCCAAUCCCAAAAAGUGUGCCUCAGUUCGGAUCGCAGUCUGCAACUCGACUGCGUGAAGUCGGAAUCGCUAGUAAUCGCGGAUCAGCAUGCCGCGGUGAAUCCGUUCCCGGGCCUUGUACA
RNAcentral lists this ribosomal RNA (500 nucleotides) under uncultured organism. RNAcentral's name for it is "bacterial SSU rRNA". It matches the Rfam family "Bacterial small subunit ribosomal RNA", at positions 886 to 1387 of the family's 1533-position model. The record is from RNAcentral.